Molecule: long non-coding RNA, 662 nt
Organism: Bos taurus (domestic cattle)
Lineage: Eukaryota; Metazoa; Chordata; Mammalia; Artiodactyla; Bovidae
Source: Ensembl
ACUUCUUCUGACCCAGAUCAUGGCUCCCUCCCAACUUAAGCCACUUCUCAAUUCAGCUCAUCAUGUUCUUUUCAAACCGGGCAUAUGCUCCUGGGAAGCAUCCUGCCACUUGCAGGAUCUUGGUUCCUGGACCAGUGACUGAACUCCGGUCCCAGCAGUGGAAGCACAGAGUCCUAACCACUGGACCACCAGAGGAUUCCUGGGGAUCCAUUUUUCUUCACCACCUCCUGCAAAACCCACCCCUCCCUCUGCUAUGGAUGCCAUCACCUCUCUGCCCGCACCCAGGGGUCUCCCCUCCAGCUCCGGAGCGCCUUCUCCUCCCUCUGCCUGCUUUGCCGCUGACAGCUAGAAGAUUCCAAGCCAACCAUUUUGUAGAAGGUCCCUCGUCUGGGUUUGUUUGAUGUUUCCCUUUGAUUAAAUUCAGGUUAUACAUUUUUGAGAGGAAAUCACAGUUUCAUUUCUUCACAUGAAAAUAUUGAAUCCAUUUGGAAUUAAUUUGGGUAUAAAUGAUAUAUUUUUCCUCACUUAUAUGAAACACCUCCUUUAUCAUAUAGCAAAUAUUUAAUUGCAUAUCUUUUAUCUUUCUGCUCUUCAAAGCCAGUGUCACACUGUUUUAAUUACCCUGGCUUCGUAAUAUGCACCCCCCAAACACGGUAAUGAGC